This 361-nucleotide ribosomal RNA is filed under the name Bathysciola sarteanensis. Its description in RNAcentral is "partial 12S ribosomal RNA". Lineage: Eukaryota; Metazoa; Arthropoda; Insecta; Coleoptera; Leiodidae. The record is from RNAcentral.
GAUACCCUAUUAUUAAAAGUGUAAAUAUUUAAAUUAAUUAGUAUUUGUUAUGUUCAUAAAAAUUAAAGAAUUUGGCGGUAUUUUAGUCUAUUCAGAGGAACCUGUCCUAUAAAUGAUAAUCCACGAUUUAUAUAAUUUAUUUUAUUAGUUUGUAUAUCGCUGUAGUUGAAUAUUUUGAUAGGAUUUUAAUGUUCAUGAUUUUUUUACUAAAAGAAAAUCAAGUCAAGGUGUAGCUUAUAAAUAAAAAGAGAUGGGUUACAAUAAAAUUAUUUAUAUAGAUUUUUUAAUUAAAAUUGAAUUUGAAAUUGGAUUUGAUAGUAAUUUUAAAUAAUUAUUUAGAAUGAUUAUAGCUCUAAAAUAU